GAUGAACGCUAGCGGCAGGCCUAAUACAUGCCAGUCGGACGGGAUCCAUUGAUAGCUUGCUAUCAAUGGUGAGAGUGGCGCACGGGUGCGUAACGCGUGAGCAACCUGCCUCCAUCAGGGGGAUAGCCUCUCGAAAGAGAGAUUAACACCGCAUAAUAUCAACAGUUCGCAUGUUCAGUUGAUUAAAUAUUUAUAGGAUGGAGAUGGGCUCGCGUGACAUUAGCUAGUUGGUAGGGUAACGGCUUACCAAGGCGACGAUGUCUAGGGGCUCUGAGAGGAGAAUCCCCCACACUGGUACUGAGACACGGACCAGACUCCUACGGGAGGCAGCAGUAAGGAAUAUUGGUCAAUGGGCGGAAGCCUGAACCAGCCAUGCCGCGUGCAGGAUGACUGCCCUAUGGGUGGUAAACUGCUUUUGUCCAGGAAUAAACCUAAAUACGAGUAUUUAGCUGAAUGUACUGGAAGAAUAAGGAGCGGCUAACUCCGUG
RNAcentral lists this ribosomal RNA (488 nucleotides) under uncultured bacterium. RNAcentral describes it as "partial 16S ribosomal RNA". It matches the Rfam family "Bacterial small subunit ribosomal RNA", at positions 28 to 507 of the family's 1533-position model. The record is from RNAcentral.